Long non-coding RNA from Solanum pennellii, 1400 nucleotides. RefSeq lists it as uncharacterized. The transcript has 2 exons. Lineage: Eukaryota; Viridiplantae; Streptophyta; Magnoliopsida; Solanales; Solanaceae. The record is from RefSeq and is a predicted model, not a curated record.
CCAAACUACUUCUUAAUGUGAUACUAAUUCUACUUUUAUUCAUUUUUUAUGUAAUGUAAAGAAUAGAAAGUAAAUUACGUUAUAAAGAGAUUAAUUUUUCCAUUUCAAAACAUAAGAAGAAUUUGUGUAGGAUGUGGUUUUAAUGUCAUUAACAUUCAUUAUGAGUUAUACAAAUUAAUUCUUCACUUUGAAAUUUCUCUUUGGCAAAUUCUAUAUAAACAUGACCUUUGUGAUCAUUACCAGACACCCAAUAAACGGGAAAACUAAACAUUUUCCUCCUCUAUUCUUAUUCUUAGAAUAUUUUGGGCGAUUGGUUUUGAGCAACGUCCAAACUCUCAGCUACAAGUGCACGUGUUUGAGAGUGAAUGUGGAACCUUGGGAAGCGACCGGCUACAACGAUUUACACCGGAGUCGAGCCAAAAUCUCUAUCAAGGCAGUGGCUUGCCACGACAAAACAGUGAAAGAAUAAUGGAACAAGUUCAUGAAUAUGAGAACUUGACUGCUGAUGUUCUUAACGAGGACAUGAAAAUAUGUGAGAUAUUUCAAGCUAAUGUUCUGCAUCAAAAAAUUUCCACAAUCUUGGAGUGAUUAUAGAAAUCAAUUAAAACAUAAGAAAAAGAAUUAUCUCUCCAAAAACUUAUUAAUCACAUGAGGAUUGAAGAGGCCGUCUCAAAGAUAAGAUGGAAGAACUUUCUCUUAAUUCUUCUAAAGCUUAUCUUGUUGAAUCUUCUAGUUCUGUUUUGAAAAAUAGGUUCAAAGGCAAACUAAAGAAACUCUUGAAAAAGGACAUAUGAAGAACAAGAAUCAAUUCAACAAGCCGGAGAGUCAAAUUCAAAAAUUUAAGGCCCCUUGUCUUGUUUGUGGAAAAGUUGGUCAAGGCUGCCAGGUGCUAUCAAAGAAAAGGGAAGGACUCAAAGCAGGUUGAACAAAGUGGUGUCCAAGCUAGUCUUGCUGAGGGUAAUGAAGUGAUUGUUAUUGUAGCCGAUGUGGCAAAUCUGGUGGCAAACAAAACUAACUAGGUGCUAGAGACAGGCGCCUCAAGGCAUUUUUGUGCCAAUAAAAAGUUAUUUCAUGAUUUUAAGGAGUCCACUGAUGAAGAGUGUAUUUACAUGGGUAACUCACUACUGUUGGAGUUAUGGGUAAAGAAAAAGUUUUAUUUAAAUUAACUUUUGGAAAGAUAUUAUCCUUCAACAAUGUUUUGUAUGUUUCCUCCCUUAGUUGAAACUUAGUUCCUAGAGCACUUCUCAAAAAAGUAGGCCUUACACUUAUUUCUGAAGCUGAUAAAAUAAUUAUUUCUCACGGAGAAGACUUUGUUGGGAAAGGAUAUCUUAGUGGAGGAUUAUUUGUAUUGAACAUUGUUCAAGUCAAUAAUGCAAAUAUUUCAAAUUCUGCUUAUUUAA